Molecule: ribosomal RNA, 219 nt
Filed under: Salmonella enterica
Lineage: Bacteria; Pseudomonadati; Pseudomonadota; Gammaproteobacteria; Enterobacterales; Enterobacteriaceae
Also listed under: 1 other name
Description: partial 16S ribosomal RNA
Rfam family: Bacterial small subunit ribosomal RNA
Source: RNAcentral
AAAUUGAAGAGUUUGAUCAUGGCUCAGAUUGAACGCUGGCGGCAGGCCUAACACAUGCAAGUCGAACGGUAACAGGAAGCAGCUUGCUGCUUCGCUGACAAGUGGCGGACGGGUGAGUAAUGUCUGGGAAACUGCCUGAUGGAGGGGGAUAACUACUGGAAACGGUGGCUAAUACCGCAUGACGUCGCAAGACCAAAGAGGGGGACCUUCGGGCCUCUU